GACGAACGCUGGCGGCGUGCCUAAUACAUGCAAGUUGAGCGCUGAAGGUUGGUACUUGUACCGACUGGAUGAGCAGCGAACGGGUGAGUAACGCGUGGGGAAUCUGCCUUUGAGCGGGGGACAACAUUUGGAAACGAAUGCUAAUACCGCAUAAAAACUUUAAACACAAGUUUUAAGUUUGAAAGAUGCAAUUGCAUCACUCAAAGAUGAUCCCGCGUUGUAUUAGCUAGUUGGUGAGGUAAAGGCUCACCAAGGCGAUGAUACAUAGCCGACCUGAGAGGGGGAUCGGCCACAUUGGGACUGAGACACGGCCCAAACUCCUACGGGAGGCAGCAGUAGGGAAUCUUCGGCAAUGGACGAAAGUCUGACCGAGCAACGCCGCGUGAGUGAAGAAGGGUUUCGGAUCGUAAAACUCUGUUGGUAGAGAAGAACGUUGGUGAGAGUGGAAAGCUCAUCAAGUGACGGUAACUACCCAGAAAGGGACGGCUAACUACGUG
This 497-nucleotide ribosomal RNA is filed under the name uncultured bacterium. Its description in RNAcentral is "partial 16S ribosomal RNA". It matches the Rfam family "Bacterial small subunit ribosomal RNA", at positions 28 to 507 of the family's 1533-position model. The record is from RNAcentral.